Molecule: long non-coding RNA, 1730 nt
Organism: Macrobrachium nipponense
Lineage: Eukaryota; Metazoa; Arthropoda; Malacostraca; Decapoda; Palaemonidae
Exons: 6
Source: RefSeq, a predicted model, not a curated record
AUUUUUUACGUGCAAAAUGUAUCAGGUAUUCUAUCCCAGAUGAGUCUGAUGAACAAGCUGAAGAUAAUAUGAGUCAAGUCGAACAAUCACUAGCAGGCUUGCAUAGAGGGACUAUGAGAAAUACCCCCAGUACUGCUAAGAAAGUACGAGAUACAUUCAUGAAUUACUUUAAUAACGAAGGAAAAGUUGCAUGGCAGGACAAUGUAUAAUAUUCUUAGUUUGCUUUUCUACUGAAUGGUAAUGAGUUAUCCAAAUAUUUAAAUAAAGAAAUAGUGUGAAUUAUUCAACUGAAUAUUUGUAAGCUUUCUUUUGUUUGUAAAUAAAAUAUGACAUGAUUAUAUAUACAUACCUCUUCAUUGAUUUCCUGUGUAUUAAGGCUCAUGUUUGAAACAGAUGGUUCACAUUCCACAUUUUGAUGAAAUGCAUCAGAUGAAAAUAUGAGAGUUUUGGCGUAUAAAUGGAGUCUGAACCGCUCCCCGAACUUUUAGACGCUUGCACUUUUUUAAGCUCUUUAUUGUAUGAGCUCCUCAAGUUGUUUAUUUUCUUAACAACAGUAUCUUUAUUAGCACUAAGAUCAAUUUCUUGAAGUUUAUUUACUAAUUUACCAUAUGCUGCAUUUCUCACUUCUCUGUUUGAAUAAUCCUUAGAUUUAAUGAACCACAAACAUGGCUCAUUUUGAUAAAUUUCUACGAAGUCACUCAAGAAAUCACUGGCGCAAGAGCUUGCCAUGGUGGCGACCUUCCACUGUCAGGUGCAGCCUCAGACUGAUGUCACACCAUACGAAUUAACGAUUAUAUCUGCACGAUGUUGCGAGCAAAGGACCUAAGCGAUCAUGAAUUGUUUUGUGUAAAAGACAUUAAUGAGAGGCAACAGUUGAUUGAUGUCCUCAUGAAAGACUUCGGUGAUUUCGAGUCAUCUGUUUCAACCCUGAAACCUGCACCAAGUGCAUUAAAACCAAAGAGAAUGUCAGAACCCACUAAGUGUCCUGCUAGAAGUGAGAGAAGAACUCGUUGUUUUCAGCAAUACCACUCUCCACCUUGAACAAGGUGUUGUUAUUCUUAAAAGUCACGAAGAGGUAGUGUAAGUUCGUCAGUUGCCGGUCCACCUUCUGAUUGGCAGCAGUUAGGUGACGAAGAGGAGGAGGCUCGACUAAUUUUCCUCAAAGACCAGAGAUACGACUGUUCAGUCUUGAGGGCGCAGGAAAUUAUGGCCUGAAGAGGAGAAAAGGCCAGUUUGAUCUAAAUGUUAGCAGUACAAUUAUAGCAAUGCCAGAAGACAUCACUGAGAGAGAUCUCAAAAAUAUUUCCAAGGGAAGUGGAACGAAAGUAUACGACCAGAGCGUUGGUACUACUGUACUUGUCAUCAGUGCAGAAAUGGAUGUGUCCUCCUUGCCUAGAUUGUGCAAUUGCUCAAUAUGCAGAAACAGAAAUGGUAAAAGUGCUACUGGAAUUCUCAUCAAUAUUGCAAGGACUACUUAGAGACUGCUGAAAUGAAAUACUGUGAUGGAAUUCAGAAUAUUGUGAUAUAUACUAUAUGUUGAAGUAGGUUACCUGGGUGUGUAGGAUAAUAAUAGUAUCAUUAUGUAGUGUGGAGUUUUGUGUUGUCUGAUGAAUCGUGUAGAGAAGCAAAAGGUCUUGCCAAUCAUUGUUAUUAUUUUAGUUAUUUUGUGGUGUUAAAAAAUCUCCCUUUUGCUGAUAAGCAUUCUUAUAAUUUUCAAUUUCCAGCGUUCC